GUAAACUUCCUUUCUUUUUCUUCUUGUAGCAGCCACACCUCUCAACCCUAACCCUUUUUUCCCAAAAAUUUAAUCUUUUGAUCCUUCACUCAUCUCCUUACAUAGUUCCGAAAUUUGCAAGCUUAUUACAUCUUUGGGUUCUUCCAAGCACGAGAAGGUGACGGAAAAAAAGGGACAACACUACGCGUUUCUUUGGUCUUUCUAUUUGAUCUCUUUAAGGUUCUGUAGAAAAUACUGUGGUUGACCUUCCUAACAGCGGUAGAAGUCAGUGAUUGCGUUAUUUAGAUACCCAGUAGUGGAGUAACCGAUUUCCUGGAAUUCGCUGACACACCCAGGAACUUGAUUAUCUUUUUGGUAGGUCCCCAUUGUGUCUGAUGGAUAUUUUGGUUGUAACUCUAGUAUAAUGUAGCUAUAGGGACCAGGGUAGUACUAGAUUUAGAGGGGACUCCUUUAUUUUGGGAAUGUAAAUGACUCUCCUUUAUAGAUAUGAUGAUGAUGCACUUGUGAUGUUUUGAGACACUUGAUGAUUAGUGGUUAUAAUCCACUUUGUUAUUAAA
This is a long non-coding RNA of Glycine soja, 557 nucleotides long. RefSeq lists it as uncharacterized. The transcript has 3 exons. Lineage: Eukaryota; Viridiplantae; Streptophyta; Magnoliopsida; Fabales; Fabaceae. The record is from RefSeq and is a predicted model, not a curated record.